GGGUGGGGUCCAGGUCUGGCCAAGUCUCCCUCACCUCGGGCCCAGGAAGUGGCUUUCCAGCUGGCUCAGAACUGGGUCCGAACCAACUUUGAGGUCUACUCCAGAGACUCGGCCAUGUAUGAGAAGUAUGACAUCAGCAAUGGUGGUCAGCCAGGUGGUGGAGGGGAGUACGAGGUUCAGGAGGGCUUUGGCUGGACCAAUGGAGUGGUCCUGAUGCUCCUGGAGCGCUAUGGUGACCGGCUGAGCUCGGGCAGCCAGACAGUUUUCCUGCAGCCCCA
Molecule: long non-coding RNA, 278 nt
Organism: Nyctereutes procyonoides (raccoon dog)
Lineage: Eukaryota; Metazoa; Chordata; Mammalia; Carnivora; Canidae
Exons: 3
Source: RefSeq, a predicted model, not a curated record